GCAGCUGGGACUGCAGGCGCCCGCCACCACGCCCGGCUUUUUUUUGUGUGUGUUUAGUAGAGACGGGGUUUCACCGUGUUAGCCAGGAUGGUGUCGAUCUCCUGACCUCGUGAUCCGCCCGCCUCGGCCUCCCAAAGUGCGGGAUUACAGGCGUGAGCCACCGUGCCCGGCCAAAAAUGGUAUCUUACUUCAAUUUGCAGUUCCCCAUUCACUCAACUGAGGGUCAGAAUGCCACUUUCUUUCUAAUUUCCAUAUUGGAUUUGGUGAAGAUUUUCCAGCUCCUAAGGCCUGAUUGUUCCUAGUAGACAGAGUUCAAUACACGUUUGGUGAAAAAAUAGUGUUUCAAUCUAGAUGAAAUGGAUGAAUUCCUGGACACAUACCCCCUUCCCAAGACAAAACCAGGAAGAAGUUGAAUCCCUGAAUAGAUGAAUAACAGGCUCCAAAAUUGAGGCAAUCAUUAAUAGCCUACCAACCAAAAAAAGUCCAGCACCAGAUGGAUUCACAGUCGAAUUCUACCAGAGGUACAAGGAGGAGCUGGUACCAUUCCUUCUGAAACGAUUCCAAUCAAUAGAAAAAGAGGGAAUCCUCCCUAACUGAUUUUAUGAGGCCAACAUCAUCCUGAUACCAAAGCCUGACAGAGACACAACAAAAAAAGAGAAUUUUAGACCAAUAUCCCUGAUGAACAUCCAUGCAAAAAUCCUCAAUAAAAUACUGGCAAACCGAAUCCAGCAGCACAUCAAAAAGCUUAUCCACCAUGUUCAAGUGGGCUUCAUCCCUGGGAUGCAAUGCUGGUUCAACAUAUGAAAAUCAAUAAAUGUAAUCCAGCAUAUAAACAGAACCAAAGACAAAAACCAGAUGAUUAUCUCAAUAGAUGCAGAAAAGGCCUUUGACAAAAUUCAACAACCCUUCAUGCUACAAACUCUCAAUAAAUUAGGUAUCGAUGGGACAUAUCUCCAAAUAAUAAGACAUCUUUAUGACAAACCCACAGCCAAUAUCAUACUGAAUGGGCAAAAACUGGAAGCAUUCCCUUUGAAAACUGGCAGAAGACAGGGAUGCCCUCUCUCACCACUCCUAUUCAACAUAGUGUUGGAAGUUCUGGCUAGGGCAAUCAGGCAGGAGAAAGAAAUAAAGGGUAUUCAAUUAGGAAAAGAGGAAGUCAAAAUGUCCCUGUUUGCAGAUGACAUGAUUGUAUACUUAGAAAACCCCAUCAUCUCAGCCCAAAAUCUCCUUAAGCUGAUAAGCAACUUCAGCAAAGUCUCAGGAUACAAAAUCAAUGUGCAAAAAUCACAAGCAUUCUUGUACACCAAUAACAGACAAACAGAGAGCCAAAUCAUGAGUGAAUGCCCAUUCAUAAUUGCUUCAAAAAGAAUAAAAUACCUAGGAAUCCAACUUACAAGGGAUGUGAAGGACCUCUUCAAGGAGAACUACAAACCACUGCUCAACGAAAUAAAAGAGGACACAAACAAAUGGAAGAGCAUUCCAUGCUCAUGGAUGGGAAGAAUCAAUAUCAUGAAAAUAGUCAUACUGCCCAAGGUAAUUUAUCGAUUCAAUGCCAUCACCAUCAAGCUACCAAUGACUUUCUUCACAGAAUUGGAAAAAGCUACUUUAAAGUUCAUAUAGAACCAAAAAAGAGCCCACACUGCGAAGACAAUCCUAAGCCAAAAGAACAAAGCUGGAGGCAUCACACUACCUGACUUCAAACUAUACUACAAGGCUACAGUAACCAAAGCAGCAUGGUACUGGUACCAAAACAGAGAUAUAGACCAAUGGAACAGAACAGAGCCCUCAGAAAUAAUACCACACAUCUGCAACCAUCUGAUCUUUGACAAACGUGACAAAAACAAGCAAUGGGGAAAGGAUUCCCUAUUUAAUAAAUGGUGCUGGGAAAACUGGGUAGCCACAUGUAGAAAGCUGAAACUGGAUCCCUUCCUUACACCUUAUACAAAAAUUAAUUCAAGAUGGAUUAAAGACUUAAAUGUUAGACCUAAAACCAUGAAAACCCUAGAAGAAAACCUAGGCAAUACCAUUCAGGACAUAGGCAUAGGCAGGGACUUCAUGUCUGAAACACCAAAAGCAAUGGCAACAAAAGCCAAAAUUGACAAAUGGGAUCUAAUUAAACUAAAGAGCUUCUGCACAGCAAAAGAAACUACCAUCAGAGUGAACAGGCAACCUACAGAAUGAGAGAAAAUUUUUGCAAUCUACUCAUCUGACAAAGGGCUAAUAUCCAGAAUCUACAAAGAACUCAAACAAAUUUACAAGAAAAAAACAAUCCCAUCAACAAGUUUACAAAGGAUAUGAACAGACAUUUCUCAAAAGAAGACAUUUAUGCAGCCAACAGACAAAUGAAAAAAUGCUCAUCAUCACUGGCCAUCAGAGAAAUGCAAAUCAAAACCACAAUGAGAUAGCAUCUCACACCAGUUAGAAUGGUGAUCAUUAAAAUGUCAGGAAACAACAGGUGCUGGAGAGGGUGUGGAAUAAUAGGAACACUUUUACACUGUUGGUGGGACUGUAAACUAGUUCAACCAUUGUGGAAGACAAUGUGGCGAUUCCUCAAGGAUCUAGAACUAGAAAUACCAUUUGACCCAGCCAUCCCAUUACUGGAUAUAUACCCAAAGGAUUAUAAAUCAUGCUGCUAUAAAGACACAUGCACAUGUAUGUUUAUUGCGGCUCUAUUCACACUAACAAAGACUUGGAACCAACCCAAAUGUCCAUCAAUGAUAGACUGGAUUAAGAAAAUGUGACACAUAUACACCAGGGAAUACUAUGCAGCCAUAAAAAAGGAUGAGUUCAUGUCCUUUGUAGGGACAUGGAUGAAGCUGGAAACCAUCAUUCUGAGCAAACUAUCACAAGGACAGAAAACCAAACACCGCAUGUUCUCACUCAUAGGUGGGAAUUGAACAGUGAGAACACUUGGACACAGGAAGA
Long non-coding RNA from Pongo pygmaeus (Bornean orangutan), 2925 nucleotides. RefSeq lists it as uncharacterized. Lineage: Eukaryota; Metazoa; Chordata; Mammalia; Primates; Hominidae. The record is from RefSeq and is a predicted model, not a curated record. The transcript is spliced from 3 exons.